UUUUGUGAAGUGGUUUUCUGUUCUGGGUAGAAGAGAGAUUAACACAGAGUGUGGAUGUGUUCAGCCAAGAGGGUUGAACAGAGGGUGUUCUCUUGAAGACAUGAAGAUGAGUCUUAUGUUUUCCAUUCAUCAAGUGGUCUGGGUUCUCUUUGAAUCAGGAAUUAUGUGAAGGUCCAACUUUGGGGUGUUGGAUAUGUUCAUGUGUGAUCUCCAAGUU
RNAcentral lists this long non-coding RNA (217 nucleotides) under Lathyrus oleraceus (garden pea). Its description in RNAcentral is "Pisum sativum (pea) long non-coding RNA (PSAT_LNC024738)". Lineage: Eukaryota; Viridiplantae; Streptophyta; Magnoliopsida; Fabales; Fabaceae. The record is from RNAcentral.